Molecule: long non-coding RNA, 883 nt
Organism: Anguilla rostrata (American eel)
Lineage: Eukaryota; Metazoa; Chordata; Actinopteri; Anguilliformes; Anguillidae
Exons: 3
Source: RefSeq, a predicted model, not a curated record
CUUUGACACUGUUUUCCUCACAGUAGGACAACUACAGCUACCCGUGAAGACUGCGAAGUGCAUGCACUCUGGUGAAUGGUAAAACAUCAAGAAGAAUAUGCACCGCCCCAUACUGAGAACACCCUGUCUCUUUUCUAAGCUUUGGCUGUUGUCUCUGUUUCAACAAGAAAAGGGCCUUCGGACAGGUGUGGAAGGCUGACUGAUCAGAGGCCCUUAACCUUUCAUGCCUCGCCGCUGACCGCACUGUCCAGAUGGGUGGCCCUUUAAACCAGGCGACAGCAAUCAAGCUAAAACCUUCAGAGCCUCGCUUGCCCAUGGUACCAUGGUAACGUGUCCGAACAGAUUAAAACAAUAAUGUCAACUCGAAUAACAUAAUGAUCCGCAAUCAACCCACCAGGAAGCCAUUGAUUCUCUUGCAAGUGCUCAUCACCAUAACAACAGUAAUUCAUGCUCUCUAAAUUGUGAGUACAUUUAUCUGGCCCUGCCUGUGCUUUGAUAACAGGAUGAGCCUCUGUACCUUUCCAAAGCUCAGCUGUGUGCUGUGUCCUUAUUUCUGUCCUUCUUGACUAUUGGCCGUACAGAAGCGUUGAGAAGUGUGGUCCUGAAUCGCAAAUUUCUUAUCGCAUGGACAAGAUCAUCACGUCAGACAAAAAGUUAUUACUUAAUACAAAAUCAUUCUGGGAAGUGUAAUUGUAAUAGAUGUGAGAAUGGAAUUGCAAUGUACUCACUUCCAUAUAGAAGAACAAAAUAUUUGAUGAACAUUGAUCUGCAUUUCAACAUAGUUAUACUCUCAUGUUUGCCCAUGCUUUAUAGACACAAACAUUAUUUGAUAUUGAAAAUAUCAAUAUGAGCAUCAAAAGUAAGUCCAAUGUGGUAACAGACA